Aedes albopictus (Asian tiger mosquito) is the source of this 1028-nucleotide long non-coding RNA. RefSeq lists it as uncharacterized. NCBI's taxonomy places the organism in Eukaryota, Metazoa, Arthropoda, Insecta, Diptera, Culicidae. The transcript is spliced from 2 exons. The record is from RefSeq and is a predicted model, not a curated record.
GCGAUUUGCCAUGGUAAGCUAAGUGUUUGUAAACAAUAGUAUUGUGUAUCCUAACGAUUCAAUGCUUUUCUAGGUAUGCGACAGUGCAUCCAUUGAGAAGUGGUCCGGACCUGUGAAUGGUGUUUGGACUUCAAUCGUCCAUUGAACGUACGGCGUGGGAUAUUUUGACAUCGCCAGUUCGUUCUCUUCGAACUGGUCCCACUAAAUCGGUUUGUAGAGCUCGUACCGGGUUUGGUCGCCGGUGAUGACCGAGCCUACUUCUACAGAUUCCUGGUCACGACGGACCGGUAACCUCAGGUUCUACGGAUAGACCCGAGCAAAAAGUUGCUAUUAUUAUCGUACUUUAACGGUAGUACGCAGAAUCACCGAAUAAAGAUUGGUUUUGGGGUUUCUUGGGAACGGGCACUCUGGAAAGAACUUCACAGGUUGGCCUUCGGAGUUCCGCCACUUAUAUUGGUGGAAAUUCUCCGAAUAUUUUCAAAAACUGGGAGUCAAAUUUCGCGUUUUUUCGACGGUUUCGCGUUUUCGUACAAUUUCGCGGAUAUUCGUGUUUUGUCUAUUAGUUUUGUGACACGGUUCGUGAUUGUGGACUAACGGAUGGACGGUAAGUAUGAUGGUAAGUACUGACAUUUUCAGGUAAGUUUUCGCGUUUCGUUUUUGAUUUGUCGGUAGACUCACGGACGGUCUACCAAACCGAUUCAAUUUACGUGUCUCGCGUCGCGGUUUUGAUCGGAUCGGCAAUCUCGAUUGCCGCGACCAAUCGACUUCGAUUUCGGUCGGGUUCGGAAACGGCGAACCUGGUUGGGUAUGACGCGAUUAUCGAUAAUAUUGGCAUCUCUUACCGGUUUAGGUGACAGUGAUGAGAGCUGGACAGAUCGGUCUUUCCAUCUCGUUGCACGCCGGUCGUGCGAACUUCUCAGUCUUCUACUAGGCAUACCGUUCAUAUCGCGAUCGCGUUCGGAUUUUCUGCACUUCUUCUAAAAAUAGAAAAUUUGUUAUUCUACGGAUGACACACUCGGAUUGAAAAA